UCUGCUGCUGCAACUGCUAGCUGGAUGAAAAAGAGACCAAAAACUCCCUCCCAAGAGGAUAUGCAGAGCUAUAUACCACAGAUGAAGACACAGAAGCACAGAAAGGUUACAUAACUUGCCGAAGGUCUCACUGCCAAUCAGUGAUGAUGAUGAAAGAAGCCCUCCUUAAUCCUCAGAGCUUUAUCAUAUCCUGUAUUCUAAAAGCAUUCUUCUUUGAAUCCUCCUUGGACCCAUCUUUGCCAUCCUGCUGGUUCCCUCUUUAAUGACUUGAAUAUACCUUUGAUUCACUCUAUAUUUGUAUAAGAAUUAUGUUUUUAACUAUUUAGGUUUUAUAUUUUGACAUCUUUAAAUA
Molecule: long non-coding RNA, 352 nt
Organism: Diceros bicornis minor
Lineage: Eukaryota; Metazoa; Chordata; Mammalia; Perissodactyla; Rhinocerotidae
Exons: 3
Source: RefSeq, a predicted model, not a curated record